UACGUAGGUGGCAAGCGUUGUCCGGAUUUAUUGGGUUUAAAGGGUGCGUAGGCGGUUCCUUAAGUCCGUUGUGAAAUACGGCAGCUUAACUGUCGAGGUGCAAUUGAUACUGGGGAACUAGAGUACUGAUGAGGUAUGCGGAAUGGACGGUGUAGCGGUGAAAUGCUUAGAUAUCGUCCAGAACACCGAUAGCGAAGGCAGCAUACUAAGGAGUAACUGACGCUGAGGCACGAAAGUGUGGGGAUCAAACAGG
RNAcentral lists this ribosomal RNA (253 nucleotides) under uncultured bacterium. RNAcentral's name for it is "partial 16S ribosomal RNA". It matches the Rfam family "Bacterial small subunit ribosomal RNA", at positions 524 to 776 of the family's 1533-position model. The record is from RNAcentral.